Molecule: long non-coding RNA, 2951 nt
Organism: Vitis riparia (riverbank grape)
Lineage: Eukaryota; Viridiplantae; Streptophyta; Magnoliopsida; Vitales; Vitaceae
Exons: 5
Source: RefSeq, a predicted model, not a curated record
GCACAUUAUAUCCAAUGCACAGGGUUGCAUAUGAAUAUCAUGUACUAUCAUGUGUGCCAUAUGUGAUAUCUUGUGUAUUUAGUGUAAAAUAAACUGAGUAGUAUGCAUGUGUUACUUAUUGAUGAAAUUUUCUUGUAACAUGCUUAUAUGUAUUAGUAAGAUUUGAUAGAAUUUAAACAAGUAGGAUGGUUUAGGAAUAAAUUGUAGAACUUGACUUGGGUUUGCCUUGGGUGGGGUAUUGGACUACCUUGAUCCCAUCCCAUUUUCUGUAUAUUGUAAUUCUAUUUUAGUACUCUAUUUUCAUGAAUAAUUUUAACUAUUCAUCAUAUAUAAAUACUUAAAUUCCCAAUCCCACUCUAAAUUUAAUAGUCUUUCUUGUUCUUAUCAUAGUAGUGUUUGCUACCUACUCAAGUAUAAUACAUAGCUUUAUGAUCUUCUUUGCUUUCCAAUUGUAGCUCCAACUACACCAUUAUUUUUUGAGUUCCCACUGCUGUAAACUGGCUUUCAUGUGGAACGAGAUUAUGAUUGAAGUUCUUUUUUCUUCUCUUUCUUCUUUUUCCACAUGGUUUCCUUAUUUUGUUGAUGAGAAAAUCUGAAAAUCUAAUGUAGUAACAUUUUAUGCCUUUUCAUGCUCACAUAAAAUUUGGUGCAAUGUUAUUUUGUGCUCUCUCCCAAACUUUUCCAUGCAGAAAAAGGUAGUAUAAUAAUAUGUUGUGUCACACAUUUCCAUUAUUCCCUUAUUUAGUUGAUCAGAAAUUUUAGUACAACAACAUGUGUUUUUUUCCAUGCUGUGUUUUCUUAUUUAAUUGGUGAGAGAUUUAAUAUAAUUUAUGCUGUGCUUUUUUCACACACACAAUGUACAAUAAUUUGUUUUGCAAUCUUACCCCAUACAAACCCACUUGAGUGCAUGUGUACACACACACACACAAACACACAUAUGUGCACAUGCACGCAUGUAGCAAUGUACAUGGUUUGGUGGAGGGAGUGGUGUAGGUUAUUUUAUUUAUAUUUAUUUAUUUUUCUCUUUGAUAGAAAUAUUGGUUCAUUGGCAAGAAAAAAGUAUCCUAUGGUCAUCUCUAGCUUUAUGAUGCACACUGUGUGUCAUUAAUGAUACAUAUUAUUAGAAAGUGUUGCCUAAAUUAAAAUUUAUAGUGGUAGUACAAGUGAAUAUGUUAUCCUAUGGUGCAUAUGUUAGAGAUACAUCUUACGUAUGAUCAUGUUCUUAUUUCUUAUCUAUAAAAGUUGGUAAAUAUUUUUAUCGUUUCGGUUUUUUCUAGACAUUUUAAUAGUAACUACCAUUUAUCCAUUUUAUGUUCUUAGUGAUUUAAUUUUGUUUAACUUUCAUGCCCUAAUAUUGAGGAUUAAAUAUUAUUUGUAUUUUAUCUUUCUUACCUCACAAAUAGAACUAUUGAAGCAUAAGGGAAGUACUUUCCUUGAUUGUAUCACAGUUGACCAGUGUCUUCCAGCAUGAGCAAGUACAAUAUCAUACACAAUGAAGAGAUUCAACAUUAUUUGUAUCAUUACCAUGGGCAAGUUGCUUUUAUAGUCACCACUUGCUCAAUUUGUUGCCUCCGUAAAAUCUAUCUCUAGGGUUUUGAGCGGGGGAUUGGGGAUGUCGCAUUUCAGACCAGUACUAAAGGUAUGGCUUUUGGUUUGAAAUAUUUUCUUCGUCUUAUAAAUGGUGGUAACUUAUGCUGUGUAUUUGGUUUCUUGAAAAAUGGGAGGACUCAAAUUAAUUAGGCUUAAUUGUUACUGAAAAAUCUAAGAGGUGAACCUUGAGAUUCAUCUUAUAUAUCUGAGAAAUAUUUUUCGGCAAAACAAAUGUGAAACGGCCCCAAACUUGAUAUUUUACUGAUUUUGUUUUCUCUGGGGUUGAAUCUUCUAAGGAACUUGGUUUUAGUGGAUAAAAUGGUUAAUUGGUGGCUUUAAGGGAUCAUUUGAUGUUCAACGCAAUGAAUUGAGAAAUAUGAUCAUGACCUGUUUGGGCCCUGGAUAUUCAUGUGGAAAGAGCACAGUUGAUACUUGAAGAAAAGGUUAAAGGCACACAGACAAAGGAUGCUGUGACUAUUGUUGUUGAUGCCAUAGUACUCUGAACAAUCCAUUAUUCAUGGAAUGGUGCUAUCACCAAGACAACCAUUUGGAUGAGGGAUGUAAACGAGUUUGGGGAAGCCAUUUUCAGGCUAGGGGUGGGUUUGGGGAGGUUUUUGAAAUCCAGACUGAGUUUGACCCAAGGUUAAGAUUUUAUGUUGGCAUGCCUCUCCCUGUUUAUAUUUUUAAUGUCAUUUGUACCACCUUCUAUGGAUUUCAAAAUGUUCCAAUAUGAACACCCUAAAGAUCAAUUUUCUCUUCUCCAUUCUCCACUCCUUUUGCCUCCUAACCCAGCAAACCUAACUUCAACUCAGCCUCACUCAGCAUGUGACCAUGUGGAUACUCUUGGGUGUCUUUGUCAACAUCUUUUCUAGUAUUAACUCUGUCAUCAUCUUGAAUCCUCACCUUUUCAGAUGGCUGGCCCUAAGCAGAGGAAAGGGUUGGAGCUAAGACCAGCUCUCUGAAGUGGGCCACAGAUGGCAGUGCUUUUACUUGAUGAGUGAAAAUUGCAAUAAAGAUGAAGGCUUAUUGGAGAUGAGAUCAAAAUGGCAAGGUUUCAGUGUUUCACGAUGAUGGUGACAUCUCCACAAUCUACACUCCAGAUUCCACACAUCAUGAAACUGGGAAUGGGGAUUUCUGAAAUUGGGUAGAGCAACAAGGCAUUGUUUACUUCAAAAUGAUGUCAUUGUAAAGUUCAUAUAUAAUGAAUGGACCAGAUGGUUUUCCUAAAAUUGGCUAGUUCAUGUGGGUAGGCAGUCCACUUGCCGGGCCUUCCAGUUUUUGACCGAUUCAGCCCAAAAAUGGGCUGAAGAUGAUAAAUAUUUAUAAAGUGGCCACCUUGAUGGUCCAAUUGGAUAGUUCAA